Molecule: ribosomal RNA, 348 nt
Filed under: uncultured bacterium
Lineage: Bacteria
Description: bacterial SSU rRNA
Rfam family: Bacterial small subunit ribosomal RNA
Source: RNAcentral
UAGAGUUUGAUCCUGGCUCAGGACGAACGCUGGCGGCGUGCUUAACACAUGCAAGUCGAGCGGAAAGGCCCUUCGGGGUACUCGAGCGGCGAACGGGUGAGUAACACGUGAGUAAUCUGCCCCAUGCUUCGGGAUAGCCAGCCGAAAGGCUGAUUAAUACCGGAUAUGACCAUUCUUGGCAUCUUGAGUGGUGGAAAGUUUUUUCGGCGUGGGAUGUGCUCGCGGCCUAUCAGCUUGUUGGUGGGGUAAUGGCCUACCAAGGCUUCGACGGGUAGCCGGCCUGAGAGGGUUGACCGGCCACACUGGGACUGAAAACACGGCCCAAAACUCCUANGGGGNCGNNAGNCA